GAAAUGCGAUAAAUAAUGUGAAUUGCAGAAUUCAGUGAAUCAUCGAAUCUUUGAACGCACAUUGCGCCCCCUGGCAUUCCGGGGGGCAUGCCUGUUCGAGCGUCAUUACACCACUCAAGCCUGGCUUGGUAUUGAGCGCCGCGGCCUGCCCGCGCGCUCCAAUGUCUCCGGCUGAGCCGUCCGUCUCUAAGCGUUGUGAAUAGCGAUCGCUUGCGAGGCCCGGGCGGUUCGACGCCGUUAAACCCCCCAUUUUCUAUGGUUGACCUCGGAUCAGGUAGGGAUACCCGCUGAACUUAAGC
This 299-nucleotide unclassified non-coding RNA is filed under the name plant metagenome. RNAcentral's name for it is "partial contains 5.8S ribosomal RNA, internal transcribed spacer 2, and large subunit ribosomal RNA". The stretch from base 1 to 105 matches the Rfam family "5.8S ribosomal RNA", at positions 50 to 154 of the family's 154-position model. The record is from RNAcentral.